This 2904-nucleotide ribosomal RNA is filed under the name Escherichia coli 1.2264. RNAcentral's name for it is "bacterial LSU rRNA". It matches the Rfam family "Bacterial large subunit ribosomal RNA". The record is from RNAcentral. Lineage: Bacteria; Pseudomonadati; Pseudomonadota; Gammaproteobacteria; Enterobacterales; Enterobacteriaceae.
GGUUAAGCGACUAAGCGUACACGGUGGAUGCCCUGGCAGUCAGAGGCGAUGAAGGACGUGCUAAUCUGCGAUAAGCGUCGGUAAGGUGAUAUGAACCGUUAUAACCGGCGAUUUCCGAAUGGGGAAACCCAGUGUGAUUCGUCACACUAUCAUUAACUGAAUCCAUAGGUUAAUGAGGCGAACCGGGGGAACUGAAACAUCUAAGUACCCCGAGGAAAAGAAAUCAACCGAGAUUCCCCCAGUAGCGGCGAGCGAACGGGGAGCAGCCCAGAGCCUGAAUCAGUGUGUGUGUUAGUGGAAGCGUCUGGAAAGGCGUGCGAUACAGGGUGACAGCCCCGUACACAAAAAUGCACAUAUUGUGAGCUCGAUGAGUAGGGCGGGACACGUGGUAUCCUGUCUGAAUAUGGGGGGACCAUCCUCCAAGGCUAAAUACUCCUGACUGACCGAUAGUGAACCAGUACCGUGAGGGAAAGGCGAAAAGAACCCCGGCGAGGGGAGUGAAAAAGAACCUGAAACCGUGUACGUACAAGCAGUGGGAGCACGCUUAGGCGUGUGACUGCGUACCUUUUGUAUAAUGGGUCAGCGACUUAUAUUCUGUAGCAAGGUUAACCGAAUAGGGGAGCCGAAGGGAAACCGAGUCUUAACUGGGCGUUAAGUUGCAGGGUAUAGACCCGAAACCCGGUGAUCUAGCCAUGGGCAGGUUGAAGGUUGGGUAACACUAACUGGAGGACCGAACCGACUAAUGUUGAAAAAUUAGCGGAUGACUUGUGGCUGGGGGUGAAAGGCCAAUCAAACCGGGAGAUAGCUGGUUCUCCCCGAAAGCUAUUUAGGUAGCGCCUCGUGAAUUCAUCUCCGGGGGUAGAGCACUGUUUCGGCAAGGGGGUCAUCCCGACUUACCAACCCGAUGCAAACUGCGAAUACCGGAGAAUGUUAUCACGGGAGACACAAGGCGGGUGCUAACGUCCGUCGUGAAGAGGGAAACAACCCAGACCGCCAGCUAAGGUCCCAAAGUCAUGGUUAAGUGGGAAACGAUGUGGGAAGGCCCAGACAGCCAGGAUGUUGGCUUAGAAGCAGCCAUCAUUUAAAGAAAGCGUAAUAGCUCACUGGUCGAGUCGGCCUGCGCGGAAGAUGUAACGGGGCUAAACCAUGCACCGAAGCUGCGGCAGCGACGCUUAUGCGUUGUUGGGUAGGGGAGCGUUCUGUAAGCCUGCGAAGGUGUGCUGUGAGGCAUGCUGGAGGUAUCAGAAGUGCGAAUGCUGACAUAAGUAACGAUAAAGCGGGUGAAAAGCCCGCUCGCCGGAAGACCAAGGGUUCCUGUCCAACGUUAAUCGGGGCAGGGUGAGUCGACCCCUAAGGCGAGGCCGAAAGGCGUAGUCGAUGGGAAACAGGUUAAUAUUCCUGUACUUGGUGUUACUGCGAAGGGGGGACGGAGAAGGCUAUGUUGGCCGGGCGACGGUUGUCCCGGUUUAAGCGUGUAGGCUGGUUUUCCAGGCAAAUCCGGAAAAUCAAGGCUGAGGCGUGAUGACGAGGCACUACGGUGCUGAAGCAACAAAUGCCCUGCUUCCAGGAAAAGCCUCUAAGCAUCAGGUAACAUCAAAUCGUACCCCAAACCGACACAGGUGGUCAGGUAGAGAAUACCAAGGCGCUUGAGAGAACUCGGGUGAAGGAACUAGGCAAAAUGGUGCCGUAACUUCGGGAGAAGGCACGCUGAUAUGUAGGUGAAGUCCCUCGCGGAUGGAGCUGAAAUCAGUCGAAGAUACCAGCUGGCUGCAACUGUUUAUUAAAAACACAGCACUGUGCAAACACGAAAGUGGACGUAUACGGUGUGACGCCUGCCCGGUGCCGGAAGGUUAAUUGAUGGGGUUAGUGCAAGCGAAGCUCUUGAUCGAAGCCCCGGUAAACGGCGGCCGUAACUAUAACGGUCCUAAGGUAGCGAAAUUCCUUGUCGGGUAAGUUCCGACCUGCACGAAUGGCGUAAUGAUGGCCAGGCUGUCUCCACCCGAGACUCAGUGAAAUUGAACUCGCUGUGAAGAUGCAGUGUACCCGCGGCAAGACGGAAAGACCCCGUGAACCUUUACUAUAGCUUGACACUGAACAUUGAGCCUUGAUGUGUAGGAUAGGUGGGAGGCUUUGAAGUGUGGACGCCAGUCUGCAUGGAGCCGACCUUGAAAUACCACCCUUUAAUGUUUGAUGUUCUAACGUGGACCCGUAAUCCGGGUUGCGGACAGUGUCUGGUGGGUAGUUUGACUGGGGCGGUCUCCUCCUAAAGAGUAACGGAGGAGCACGAAGGUUGGCUAAUCCUGGUCGGACAUCAGGAGGUUAGUGCAAUGGCAUAAGCCAGCUUGACUGCGAGCGUGACGGCGCGAGCAGGUGCGAAAGCAGGUCAUAGUGAUCCGGUGGUUCUGAAUGGAAGGGCCAUCGCUCAACGGAUAAAAGGUACUCCGGGGAUAACAGGCUGAUACCGCCCAAGAGUUCAUAUCGACGGCGGUGUUUGGCACCUCGAUGUCGGCUCAUCACAUCCUGGGGCUGAAGUAGGUCCCAAGGGUAUGGCUGUUCGCCAUUUAAAGUGGUACGCGAGCUGGGUUUAGAACGUCGUGAGACAGUUCGGUCCCUAUCUGCCGUGGGCGCUGGAGAACUGAGGGGGGCUGCUCCUAGUACGAGAGGACCGGAGUGGACGCAUCACUGGUGUUCGGGUUGUCAUGCCAAUGGCACUGCCCGGUAGCUAAAUGCGGAAGAGAUAAGUGCUGAAAGCAUCUAAGCACGAAACUUGCCCCGAGAUGAGUUCUCCCUGACUCCUUGAGAGUCCUGAAGGAACGUUGAAGACGACGACGUUGAUAGGCCGGGUGUGUAAGCGCAGCGAUGCGUUGAGCUAACCGGUACUAAUGAACCGUGAGGCUUAACCUU